UACGUAGGGGGCAAGCGUUGUUCGGAAUUACUGGGCGUAAAGGGCGCGUAGGCGGCACGGCAAGUCGGGAGUGAAAGGCCUGGGCUCAACCGAGGAACUGCUUUCGAGACUGCCGAGCUAGAGUGCGGAAGGGGCAACUGGAAUUCCCAGUGUAGCGGUGAAAUGCGUAGAUAUUGGGAAGAACACCUGAGGCGAAGGCGGGUUGCUGGGCCGACACUGACGCUGAGGCGCGAAGGCCAGGGGAGCAAACGGG
RNAcentral lists this ribosomal RNA (253 nucleotides) under uncultured bacterium. Its description in RNAcentral is "partial 16S ribosomal RNA". It matches the Rfam family "Bacterial small subunit ribosomal RNA", at positions 524 to 776 of the family's 1533-position model. The record is from RNAcentral.